GUGAAUCAUCGAAUUUUUGAACGCAAAUUGCACUCUCUUCGGAGAGUAUGCCCGUUUGAGGGUCAGCCUAAAAAAAAUCGACAUCGUUGCUGUUUCGCGGUGGCGCUCGUCGGAAAUUGGGUUAUCUUAAAUCCUUUUGGUUUUAAGCGACUUAAAAUUUUCUUUUUGGUUCCAUGAACGUUUCUAAGAUCUAUUUCUUUACACGUUUAAGGGUAUCGAUUUUUAUUAGUCGUGACCAUCAUAUCGGAUCGUGUCCAAUAUUAUUCAUUAAAUGA
This 275-nucleotide unclassified non-coding RNA is filed under the name Glomeraceae sp. RNAcentral describes it as "partial contains 5.8S ribosomal RNA and internal transcribed spacer 2". The stretch from base 1 to 65 matches the Rfam family "5.8S ribosomal RNA", at positions 84 to 154 of the family's 154-position model. The record is from RNAcentral. Lineage: Eukaryota; Fungi; Glomeromycota; Glomeromycetes; Glomerales; Glomeraceae.